RNA transcript from Nilaparvata lugens (brown planthopper), 1265 nucleotides. RefSeq lists it as uncharacterized. Lineage: Eukaryota; Metazoa; Arthropoda; Insecta; Hemiptera; Delphacidae. The transcript is spliced from 6 exons. The record is from RefSeq and is a predicted model, not a curated record.
CCCCACCCGCAAGUCAGCCUUCAUUCUUAGUGCUCAGGCUGGUCACAACUUUUCUUAGUUCUUCAGCUUGUUCACUUGUCAUAUUGACAGUGAUCGUGGCUAGUCCUAGGACAUAGUAUUUCCAGACGCACUUCACAUAUAAUUUAGAUUUCCGUAUUAUAUAUGUUUCUCUGGCAUUUUCGGCCGGUAAAAUGGAUUCAAGACAUACGGUGAAGGGAAAGAAGAAGUUGGUUCUUUCAGCCAGGAGAAUGAAAAGGCGGCUACCACCAGAAUUUCAUGCUAACAGACGUAGAAGGAUUGAAGAACAAACCUUAUCGCUCGAAGCGCCUUCAUCUUCCCAGGCUGACAGUGUUUCAGCAGAUGCCAUUUCUGUAUCCACUGAGAACUUUCAACCCAGUGCAACGUCAACUCCUAAAUGAAAGAAGAGAAGACUACACAACAGAAAAGUACCAGUGCAUUUGAUGAAAUUGAGAUUACAGCAAAAGAAAUCUAAAGGAGAAGAAAAAUCAGGGCCAUCAACAUCUUCUUCCACCUUAUAGUCAAACCUAAAAAAAAGCGUCCUUGAUGGCACCUCUGAUUUUGCUACAAUUGUGCCACCAUUCCCCUCAAUUGGUCUACAACCAGCUUUGAACCAUGAGAUUGAUACCACCUCAAUGCGAAAUAGUGGAGUUUCUUACGUGGAGAGUAACGUCUGUGAUACUUUACUAACAAGAUAUGAUGAGUAUCCAGAUCUAAUAGUUGAGCCGGAUGGAAGACCACCCAAAGACGAUUUUAAUAUUAUUUCUGGCCGAUUUAUUGUGGACGGCAAACAUCUUGUGCAAGAAUUGAGAUCUUUGGACUACCAUAGAUACGAGUGUGAAAAAAGUGAUAAUGGUUAUAUGACACUGGUGUCUUCAACUUCAAAAUCAUCAGAAUGGACAAUGAAGUUCGUUGUAUGGACAGCUCCACGAACCAGCUGCCAUAAAUGCGUUUCAAGAAAUGGAAGAAAUUCAAGUUCAGCCUUGCGGUUUGUUUGUUGACAAAGAACAUGACUUCUUGGCGGCUUCACCUGACGGACUGGUCGGAGGUGAUAAUCUGAUUGAGGUGAAAUGUCCGAAGUCUGCUGAAAACCUCACUAUCAGCGAAGCCGUGAUCAAAGUGAAAUCAUUCUGCUUGGAAAAACUACGUUGUGAAAACGUCCGUCUCAAGAAAACCACAAUUAUUAUUACCAGGUGCAAGGGCAACUACAUGUAGCUGAGAAAAAAUCUGUUAUUUUGUAGUAUGGA